GGCAGACCACCGGUAGGCUCGUCCUAGAGAAGCGACACGUCCAUCACUGGACCUAGAACCGGUUCAGAACCUUACGGUUGCAGCAGUCGAGAAUCUUUCCCAUUUGAGGCAAACCUGAUGAGGGACCCCGGCUGGAGGAUAAGUCUCGGAAUGUAACUCCUGUUCAUGUGUGAACAAGUGCAGGGAAUAAUUACCUUGCAAAUUGAUGGUACCACAGAGGAAGAAAACGCCUAACUCUGUGCCAGCAGCCGCGGUAAUACAGAGGUCCCAAGCGUUGUUCGGAAUCACUGGGCGUAAAGGGUGCGUAGGUGGCGUGGUAAGUCAGAUGUGAAAGCCCGGGGCUCAACCUCGGAACAGCAUCCGAUACUGCCGUGCUAGAGUACUGAAGAGGUGACUAGAAUUCUCGGUGUAGCAGUGAAAUGCGUAGAUAUCGAGAGGAAUACCAAAGGCGAAGGCAGGUCACUGGGCAGUUACUGACACUGAGGCACGAAGGCCAGGGGAGCAAACGGGAUUAGAUACCCCGGUAGUCCUGGCAGUAAACGGUGCACGUUUGGUGUGGGCGCAAUCGACCGCGUCCGCGCCGGAGCUAACGCGUUAAACGUGCCGCCUGGGAAGUACGGUCGCAAGAUUAAAACUCAAAGAAAUUGACGGGGACCCGCACAAGCGGUGGAGUAUGUGGCUUAAUUCGAUGCAACGCGAAGAACCUUACCUGGUCUUGACAUGCAUUGUGUCUCCGGUGAAAGCCGGAUAGGGUAGCAAUACCCGCUUUGCACAGGUGCUGCAUGGCUGUCGUCAGCUCGUGUCGUGAGAUGUUGGGUUAAGUCCCGCAACGAGCGCAACCCCUGUGAUUUGUUGCCACCGGCGUAUGCCGAGCACUCGAAUCAGACUGCCUCGAUCAACGAGGAGGAAGGUGGGGAUGACGUCAAGUCCGUAUGGCCCUUACGACCAGGGCUGCACACGUACUACAAUGCCCAGCACAAUGUGAACCGAUACCGCGAGGUGGAGGAAAUCAGCAAAACUGGGCUCAGUUCAGAUUGGAGUCUGCAACUCGACUCCAUGAAGUUGGAAUCGCUAGUAAUGGUACAUCAGCUACGGUACCGUGAAUACGUUCCCGGGUCUUGUACACACCGCCCGUCACAUCAUGGAAGCUGGUUUCGCCCGAAGUGCGUGCGCCAACCGCAAGGAGGCAGCGCCCUAAGGCAAGACUGGUGACUGGGAUGAAGUCGUAACAAGGUAACCA
This 1240-nucleotide ribosomal RNA is filed under the name uncultured Prosthecobacter sp. Its description in RNAcentral is "partial 16S ribosomal RNA". It matches the Rfam family "Bacterial small subunit ribosomal RNA", at positions 271 to 1502 of the family's 1533-position model. The record is from RNAcentral. Lineage: Bacteria; Pseudomonadati; Verrucomicrobiota; Verrucomicrobiia; Verrucomicrobiales; Verrucomicrobiaceae.